GGGGAGGGCUGUGGCUCAGCGGCAGAACACCUGCUAUGCAUGCAGAACGUCCCAGGUUCAAUCCCCAGUCUCUCCA
This is a non-coding RNA of Podarcis lilfordi (Lilford's wall lizard), 76 nucleotides long. NCBI's taxonomy places the organism in Eukaryota, Metazoa, Chordata, Lepidosauria, Squamata, Lacertidae. The record is from the annotation of a GenBank genome assembly.